Molecule: ribosomal RNA, 253 nt
Filed under: uncultured bacterium
Lineage: Bacteria
Description: partial 16S ribosomal RNA
Rfam family: Bacterial small subunit ribosomal RNA
Source: RNAcentral
UACGUAGGGUGCGAGCGUUGUCCGGAAUUACUGGGCGUAAAGAGCUUGUAGGUGGUUUGUCGCGUUGUUCGUGAAAUCUCACGGCUUAACUGUGAGCGUGCGGGCGAUACGGGCAGACUAGAGUACUGCAGGGGAGACUGGAAUUCCUGGUGUAGCGGUGGAAUGCGCAGAUAUCAGGAGGAACACCGGUGGCGGAGGCGGGUCUCUGGGCAGUAACUGACGCUGAGAAGCGAAAGCGUGGGGAGCGAACAGG